Long non-coding RNA from Gasterosteus aculeatus aculeatus (three-spined stickleback), 664 nucleotides. The record is from Ensembl. NCBI's taxonomy places the organism in Eukaryota, Metazoa, Chordata, Actinopteri, Perciformes, Gasterosteidae.
AGAAGGCUGAGCUGUGGUGUGCAGCUCCGUGUGGGGCUGCGUGGUCAGGCAGUGCGGCGCUGCUGCACAGAUUCCUGAGACAUCAGACAUUCUGGUGUUGGUGGGGCCAGCGGCUGCAGCCUGUGCCUCACGCAUGACCCCCCCCCGCCCCCCCUCAAGCGCUGGAGACACCAGGACACUUGGCACCACACUGACGUGACCCAAAAUUCGACCCUGCGGGACGCCAGUGACGGUCUGACAUGAAAGAUGAGGCGCAGAGGAGGACAUCAUCAACAGGCGGCGGGGAAACAAAGCUCCAGCUAAUCGCUGCUUCCUACAAAACUACAUCUGUAAAGUUACUUUUAACCCGAGAAACAAGCAAGACCAAAUAGCGAAACAGAGUAAAGACUCUUACACAGUCAAUUCAUGCUGUAGACGUGUUUUGUUCCUCACAAAAUUAACCUCUUUGAACCUUAACCAAUUAUUUUUACCAAGCAGGGAAGAGCAGCUUAAGACAACUUCAGGCACUUGCGUAACAAACUACAAGAAGAAACAGAUCUGCGCGCAUUUCCCCCCCUGGUAACCGUCCAAUAUUGAGGCUUCUUCAUGCCUCUGCUCUCGCUGUCUGCAAUGAGCGUCUGUGUACAUAGUUCUCCUGCACUUGGAUGCCCUUGCCACUCUGGGU